UAUAUAUAUAUAUAUAUAUAUAAAUUCCCCUCGCCAUAUCAUAGGUGCGGUGCGUCAUGAGUUCCUGCAUGCAUUCAAAAAUUUAUUGAGUGUCUGGGAUAAAGCAGAAAAUGUUUCUUUAGCUGGAAUGAAAUGCCAGUGUUCGUAAAUUUGUAAUUCGAAGUGAACCCAGGAUAUACGGGAAUGUUUUAUUUGUCUGAUUAUUUUUAAUUCAUUCACAAUUGAUGGAGUUUUAACAUGAAUUCUCAGUUGAGGCCUUAUCCUGUGAUUGCUGUGUAAAACUCUGAUGGUGUUUUUCCAGUAUUUUAACAAAUCUUAUUAAUCCUUCAGACCCUUAAACUGUUUUUUUUUUUCUUUAAAUUGAAGCACAAAAUAGCACUUUUUUUUAAAUAGAAUUCGACUGUGUGUGUGUGUGUGUGUGUGUGUGUGUGUGUGUGUGUGUCAUCAAUCAAGCCCUGAAUGUACUAUCAGUUGUAGAUUAAAUUUACUGUGAUUUUUUCAGCCAUUAUAGCAACCCUUCUUCUGGUUUUCUUUCAAAUAUUCAGACAAGAGUGUUAACCACUACUACUCGGUUUAUAUUUUUGGAUCAAACAAAAGAGACUGCAAGAAAGAUUGUCCACUCCUCUCAUUUUUUUUUCUUCUAUGUAUAUUACUUUUCAGUACUGUGAGAAAACAUUUGAUGGUGUAAGGGGAAUGCUCACCUUUGAAAUGAGGUUUUGUUCAUUGAUCAUCUUUCUCAGCGAAUCACUGUGUUACAAUCCAGCAUCUCCUCAGAUUGUAAUCAAAUAAAGGAUUAUGAUAUGGUUAUGGAAUUAAAUACAAGGGUUGGUAAAACAAUGGGAAAGAGAUAAUAUAUGGGAAAAGUUUAAUAGUUUUCAAUGUUUUUAAAAGGACUAAAUUCUAGAGACCAGUCUGUUUCUAUUGCAAGUAUUGAAUGCCUCACUUUAAGUUUUGAAAGCUUACAAGACCUCUAACACAUGAAGGUCAUGUAAAAAAAAAAAAAAAAACAAAAAACCAACAACAACAACAAAAAAACACGGAACAUUUUAGAUUUGUAGAGAACGGACUCAAAUCAAAAUGGUGCUCCAUAAGCUCCACUAUGCUAGAACAUCUGACAGUUCUUCCGUUUCCAUACUAAACUCUACAUUGCCUGAUGUAGCAAACUAGACAAAAUGUCAUCCAACUCCAUAUUAAUCAUCAAACUAUAUAAAGCUGAGUGCUUUCAGCAUGCCUUAAAUCUAGAAAUAGUUAACUGUGGCACAUGCAGAAAUAUGUCAGUAUCCAUUCUUUCAGUAAGAAACAAAACACAAUGGGGGUGUGCUGUUAUAGGAAAAUAAAAAUAUAAAAUGAACGAGACCUGAACUGAAGUUCAGCCCAGAAGUUGAUCGUUUUCCAAAAACAGGACACCCGAAGUCUUUUACUUCCGCCCAACUGUUCGCAAUUUUCCCAACAGUUCGAUUUUUUUUAUUUAUUAUUUCCAUCACCAGCGCCUCUUUUUUCUUUCUGUUAAAGUUAAUAAGACAAACAAACAAAAAAAAUCAAACAACAAGAAGAACAACAACAACAACAAAAAACAGCUCUCAGGUUGUCCAGAAAGCCCAAAGUCCAUUACGCAAAACGACAAGUUACAAAGCGUUGACACGAAACAUCUUCUCAGCAUUUCAACGACGAGACACGUGACAUCACGUCCCUGUGAAUUAGUUACUAUAGAAAUGAUAAAAAUAUCAACCAUGCAGCUGAACUUUUGAGAAUUUAACAGCACUGUGGUAUAAUAUUGUUUAUUUCACAAUUGAAUCCUGUACAUUUGUUGACCGAAUACAUCCUGGGUCUUAAAAUGUGUUAAAAGUUGUUCCGGUUUUAAAAUGCCUUGUCCCUCCUGCUUUACUUUUCCAUCACCAAAGAUUCAACAGCUUUAUUAUGUUCUUUAUUUGUCAUGUGGUUCCAAACCCCAAACCCACCCCCCACCCCCCCCCACCCGCGUUGACAUGGUCUCUAAUUUUGUAUUUUUCUAUUGCUAUGUAUAAUUAUGUCUGUGUUGCGAUCUUUUGAGUGGUCUUGUCAUCUGAUCCUUGUUAGCAGUAGCACCACUGUGGAUCAAUGUCGUAUUUAAAAAACAAAUUCAAAUUAGUUUUGUUUAUUAGUACACUGUACUAAUAAAAUCUCAUCAGUCUCUAUCGCUUUACAACUGCUUGUGUUGUGUCUUGGGUCUUUAUUUCGAGAUUUUAAUAAAGAUUUGUAGAACUGGAUUCCAAAUUUAAAAGCUUUACUCCAUCUUGCGCUGCAAAUCCAUCAAGCAAGAAAAC
Molecule: long non-coding RNA, 2303 nt
Organism: Ictalurus punctatus (channel catfish)
Lineage: Eukaryota; Metazoa; Chordata; Actinopteri; Siluriformes; Ictaluridae
Source: Ensembl